This 430-nucleotide ribosomal RNA is filed under the name uncultured bacterium. RNAcentral describes it as "partial 16S ribosomal RNA". It matches the Rfam family "Bacterial small subunit ribosomal RNA", at positions 30 to 507 of the family's 1533-position model. The record is from RNAcentral.
UGACCGCUGGCGGUAUGCUUAACACAUGCAAGUCGAACGGUCACUUCGGUGAUAGUGGCGGACGGGUGAGUAACGCGUGAGAAUCUGUCUUCAGGUCGGGGACAACAGUUAGAAAUGACUGCUAAUACCGGAUGUGCCUUUGGGUGAAAGAUUUAUUGCCUGAAAAAGAGCUCGCGUCAGAUUAGCUAGUAGGUGGUGUAAGAGACUACCUAGGCUCCGAUCUGUAGCUGGUCUGAGAGGACGAUCAGCCACACUGGAACUGAGACACGGUCCAGACUCCUACGGGAGGCAGCAGUGGGGAAUUUUCCGCAAUGGGCGAAAGCCUGACGGAGCAAUACCGCGUGAGGGACGAAGGCUUUUGGGUCGUAAACCUCUUUUCUCAAGGAAGAUGAUGACGGUACUUGAGGAAUAAGCAUCGGCUAACUCUGUG